CUGUUUAUGGUACAAUUUAAAAAGUAGAAAAGUUUAAGACGGUGGCUAACUCUUUUAAAAUGGGGUGAUGCCGAUGUUUUUUGUUUGGGCUUUCCCUAGAAAGGAAAACCCAUGAGUGUUUAUGAAACUCUGAUGUUUGCAUUAGCUUUUGCAACUCUUGUUUUAAAAAUCUCAUCAGACAAAAA
RNAcentral lists this small RNA (185 nucleotides) under Carnobacterium alterfunditum. Its description in RNAcentral is "Listeria sRNA rli28". It matches the Rfam family "Listeria sRNA rli28". The record is from RNAcentral. Lineage: Bacteria; Bacillati; Bacillota; Bacilli; Lactobacillales; Carnobacteriaceae.